Molecule: ribosomal RNA, 415 nt
Filed under: uncultured bacterium
Lineage: Bacteria
Description: bacterial SSU rRNA
Rfam family: Bacterial small subunit ribosomal RNA
Source: RNAcentral
AAUCAACGCUGGCGGCGUGCCUAACACAUGCAAGUCGAGCGCGAAAGCGGGGCAACCCGCAAGUAGAGCGGCGAACGGGUGAGUAACGCGUGGGUGAUCUACCUCCGAGUGGGGAACAACAUCGGGAAACUGGUGCUAAUACCGCAUGACAUCCUCAGGUCACACUGAGGAUCAAAGCCGGGGACCGUAAGGCCUGGCGCUUGGAGAGGAGCCCGCGUCCGAUUAGCAGUUGGCGGGGUAACGGCCCACCAAGGCGACGAUCGGUAGCCGGCCUGAGAGGGCGGACGGCCACACUGGGACUGCGACACGGCCCAGACUCCUACGGGAGGCAGCAGUGGGGAGUAUUGGGACAAUGGGGGCAACCCUGAUCCAGCAAUGCCGCGUGAGUGAUGAAGGCCUUAGGGUUGUAAAGCUC